This 2605-nucleotide long non-coding RNA is filed under the name Homo sapiens (human). RNAcentral describes it as "non-protein coding lnc-ADCY9-1:3". The record is from RNAcentral. Lineage: Eukaryota; Metazoa; Chordata; Mammalia; Primates; Hominidae.
GAACUGCGUGCCCAUCUGUCUUGUAUGUGUUUCCAGGGGUGGCUUACAAUGGUCUUCGCCAUGUACUGGAUGGACGUGUACUUAUUAUGAAUCCUCACACCCUGAGACCCAAGAGGAUCCCUCGUAAAACAAGGCCAUAUCUGAUUUGGAUUAAAAUCCCCACGGAGAACCUGAUGUCACCCAGGAAAGUGCACGUCUCCUUGCGUGCUCUUGAGAAACGGUUGAGAAAACAGUCCUUCCAGCUCAGUAAAUACCAUUUUCUUUCUGUCUGCUCACCACCCUUGCAUUUGCAAUAAACCUGACAAAAACUUCCAGAGCGAAAAUAAGAAUGUUCAUAUUUGAAGGAGAUGUUGGCAGACGGCCACAGACUUCAAGUACGCAAGCUCAUUCCGCUCUUGCUUUUCUGCCAAUAACUCCUUGGCCUCCGCGCACUCUGCACAGGCGGGGCCUGAGGACGGAUCAUGAUCGUGUCCGAUGAUCACGGACCCGCCGGAGACUCUCAAUGGAGAGGCGAUGAGUCACAGCCAAGCGAACUUUCUCUGCUCCUGAACAAAUUGCUUCUCCUCGUCGUCCCACUCCAAACCUAGAGGUGGGACAACCCCAGCAUCCUGGGCGUGAACGCACCCAGCUUGAUUGUCACAUGGGGAAUAGAGACCUCGCGCCUGCCUGGCAUAGGCCAACCCAGUAAUGUUCAUUUAAAGCUGGCUUUACUAGUCCUUCUUCCACAAUGAGAGGUGACCCUUCACUUCACCGAGAAAGGAAGGAAGAAAGGGAGAAACAGGAAAACUUUGAAGAAUCUUCCAGAUUUGCCUAACGCAGAUGUGCAUGACCUGACAAGAUAGAUGUGCCAUUUGGACCCUUUCAAGAGCAGACAGAAUGGAAGGGAGGCUGGAGUGCAAUGGUGUGAUCUCUGCUCCUGCAACCUGCGCCUCCUGAGUUCAAGCGAUUCUCCUGCCUCAGCCUCCCAAGUUGCUGGGAUUACAGGGGCCCGCCACCACGCCCAGCUAAUUUUUGUUAUUUUCAGUAGAGAUGGGGUUUCAUCAUGUUGGCCAGGCUAGUCUUGAACUCCUGACCUCAGGCGAUCCGCCCGCCUCGGCCUCCCAAAGUGCUGGGAUUACAGGUGUGAGCCACUGCACCUGCCCAAGGACUAAGGUUUUCUAUUUCUUAUUGUGUCAGUUAGGUUGUAUUUUUCUGUGAAUCUGUUCAUUUCACCAAAUUUUCAAGUUUGUUGGCUUAAAGUUUUCGAUAAUAUACUCUUAUUUUGUGGUGAAGUCCCUUUUUUAUUUCUUGUAUUUGUUAUUUGUGCCUUCUUUUCUUUUUUUUUUUUCCUUUUCUUUUUUAUGAGAUAGAGUUUCACUCUUGUCGCCCAAGCUGGAGUGCAAUGGCGCGAUCUCAGCUCACUGAAACCUCUGCCUCCCGGGUUCAAGCGAUUCUCCUGCCUCAGCCUCCUGAGUGGCUGGGAUUAUAGGCACCCAUCACCACGCCCAGCUAAUUUUUUGUAUUUUUAGUAGAAAUGGGGUUUCACCAUGUUAGCCAGGCUGGUGCCAAACUCCUGAUUUCAGGUGAUCCGCCCGCCUCAGCCUCCCAAAGUGCUGGGAUUACAGGCGUGAGCCACCACGCCCAGCCUUUUCCUUUUCUAUUUUCUUUUUCUUUUCACAGAUGCCUUUUGUGAAAACUGUCAAAUUGUUUCCUUUUAAUCAUUCUCUUUAGGGAUUAACCAAUUUUAUUAGUGGUUUCAGUUUUGGCUUUGUUGAUUCUCUCCGUUGUGUGUUUGUUUUUAUACUUAUUAUACAUUGAAAUCAUUUCCUCCUGUCUACUUUAUUAUAUAUUUAAAUCAUUUCCUCCUGUCUAUUUUUGUUGGGUUUCUUUAGUUGUUCUUUUCCUGACAUCUUAAAAUGAAUGUGCUUAGCUCAUUAUAUUUUAAGUCUUUCUUCUUCCCUAAAAUAUGCAAUUAAGGCUAUAAAUUUCCCCCCAAACACUGCAUUAGCUUUACUCCAUAAGUUUUGUUGUAUUUUGUUUUUCAUUACAUAUAGUAUAGUUCAAAGUAAUUUCAAAUUUCCGUUUUUAUUUGUUCUGAAACCCAUGCAUUAUUUAGAAGUAUAUUUUAGAAGCACGUUACUCGAAAGUAUAGUUUUCAAAGGUACAGGGACUUUUUAAUAUUUUUAUUAUCGAUUCUUAAACUAUUUGCAAUAUGUUAGGAUAACAUUAUCUGCUGUAUUUUAAUCCUUUGAAAUGUGUUGAAACUUGCGUUUUGGCCCAGCAGAUCAUCGUAUUUUAAAAUGGAUGAUAUCUUUUUGAAAAUAACAUAUUUUUCACUUGUUGGGUGCACAGUUCUCCAUAUGUUCAUACAACAAGAUUGUUCAUUAUGAUGUCUCAAAUCUUCUACAGUGUUAUUGAUUUAUUGUCUGCCUGUUCCAUUGAUUACUGAAAAAGCUGUGUCAAACAUCCCACUAUGAAUAUGGACUUGUCUGUUUCUCCAUAUAAUUCUGUUCACAUUGCUCUAUGUAUCAUGUAAUUAGGUACAUACAAAUUUAAAAUAAUCUUUUAUUAUUAUAGGGUGACCCUCCUUAAUUCUAGAGACGCUUUUUUUUUUUUUUUUCAUUUU